RNAcentral lists this ribosomal RNA (460 nucleotides) under uncultured bacterium. Its description in RNAcentral is "partial 16S ribosomal RNA". It matches the Rfam family "Bacterial small subunit ribosomal RNA", at positions 338 to 795 of the family's 1533-position model. The record is from RNAcentral.
CCUACGGGUGGCAGCAGUGAGGAAUAUUGGUCAAUGGACGAGAGUCUGAACCAGCCAAGUAGCGUGAAGGAUGACUGCCCUAUGGGUUGUAAACUUCUUUUAUAUGGGAAUAAAACGUUCCACGUGUGGGAUUUUGUAUGUACCAUAUGAAUAAGGAUCGGCUAACUCCGUGCCAGCAGCCGCGGUAAUACGGAGGAUCCGAGCGUUAUCCGGCUUUAUUGGGUUUAAAGGGAGCGUAGGUGGAUUGUUAAGUCAGUUGUGAAAGUUUGCGGCUCAACCGUAAAAUUGCAGUUGAAACUGGCAGUCUUGAGUACAGUAGAGGUGGGCGGAAGUCGUGGUGUAGCGGUGAAAUGCUUAGAUAUCACGAAGAACUCCGAUUGCGAAGGCAGUUCACUGGACUGCAACUGACACUGAGGCUCGAAAGUGUGGGUAUCAAACAGGAUUAGAUACCCUUGUAGUC